Molecule: transfer RNA, 92 nt
Filed under: Bacteroidetes bacterium QS_8_68_28
Lineage: Bacteria; Pseudomonadati; Bacteroidota
Description: tRNA-Ser
Rfam family: tRNA
About the family: Transfer RNA (tRNA) molecules are approximately 80 nucleotides in length. Their secondary structure includes four short double-helical elements and three loops (D, anti-codon, and T loops).
Source: RNAcentral
GGAGGGGUGGCAGAGCCUGGUCGAAUGCACCGGUCUUGAAAACCGGCGUGCCCGCUGUGGCACCGGGGGUUCGAAUCCCUCCCCCUCCGCCU